UUUUAAUUUGGUAGUAGAGUAUGUCAUGGUAAGACGUAAGUCAUCGGUUCGAAUCCGAUAAAG
This 63-nucleotide transfer RNA is filed under the name Buergersiochloa bambusoides. RNAcentral's name for it is "tRNA-Thr". Lineage: Eukaryota; Viridiplantae; Streptophyta; Magnoliopsida; Poales; Poaceae. The record is from RNAcentral.